Molecule: ribosomal RNA, 240 nt
Filed under: uncultured bacterium
Lineage: Bacteria
Description: partial 16S ribosomal RNA
Rfam family: Bacterial small subunit ribosomal RNA
Source: RNAcentral
UGGCGAACGGGUGAGUAACGCGUGAGGAACCUGCCUCAAAGAGGGGGACAACAGUUGGAAACGACUGCUAAUACCGCAUAAGCCCACGACCCGGCAUCGGGUAGAGGGAAAAGGAGCAAUCCGCUUUGAGAUGGCCUCGCGUCCGAUUAGCUAGUUGGUGAGGUAACGGCCCACCAAGGCGACGAUCGGUAGCCGGACUGAGAGGUUGAACGGCCACAUUGGGACUGAGACACGACCCAG